CAACGGGAAGCUGCAGAAGACGAGCUACCAGGAGGACGCCGUCGAGCUCGGCAAAUUUGCUCGCUGCUUCCCCACGACCUAGACAAGGUGUGUUGAUAUGUGCUGGCCUGCUGCCACCUAUCCGAGCUCCUGUCGCCGGCCACCAUUCCACCUUGCCGCUGCCGAGGACCUCUCUAAUAAGCUGCUGCUGGUGUGAUAGGACCGGUUGGAUUCCUGCUGUUAAUAGGGAGCAGUUGCUGCAUGGAUUGUGUUAGCAUCGAUCCUUUUUUGCCUGUGUAGGUGAGUAAUGGUCCAGAUGCUGAGCUGGUUUUGUGUUGUUUGUGAUUGGAGCUCUAUUCUGGUCUUGCAUGAUCAAUUGG
Long non-coding RNA from Lolium rigidum, 359 nucleotides. RefSeq lists it as uncharacterized. The transcript is spliced from 3 exons. NCBI's taxonomy places the organism in Eukaryota, Viridiplantae, Streptophyta, Magnoliopsida, Poales, Poaceae. The record is from RefSeq and is a predicted model, not a curated record.